UACGGAGGGUGCAAACGUUGCUCGGAAUUAUUGGGCGUAAAGCGCACGUAGGCGGUCUCAUAAGUCGGAUGUGAAAGCCCGGGGCUCAACCCCGGAAGUGCAUUCGAAACUGUGAGGCUUGAGUAUGGAAGAGGGUCGCGGAAUUCCCGGUGUAGAGGUGAAAUUCGUAGAUAUCGGGAGGAACACCAGUGGCGAAGGCGGCGACCUGGGCCAAUACUGACGCUGAGGUGCGAAAGCGUGGGGAGCAAACAGG
This 253-nucleotide ribosomal RNA is filed under the name uncultured bacterium. Its description in RNAcentral is "partial 16S ribosomal RNA". It matches the Rfam family "Bacterial small subunit ribosomal RNA", at positions 524 to 776 of the family's 1533-position model. The record is from RNAcentral.